RNAcentral lists this transfer RNA (77 nucleotides) under bacterium. Its description in RNAcentral is "tRNA-Arg". It matches the Rfam family "tRNA". Rfam says of the family: Transfer RNA (tRNA) molecules are approximately 80 nucleotides in length. The record is from RNAcentral. RNAcentral also lists the same sequence under 2 other names.
GCACCCAUAGAUCAAUUGGAUAGAUCGUUUGACUACGGAUCAAAAGGUUAGGGGUUCGAAUCCUCUUGGGUGCGCCA